Equus caballus (horse) is the source of this 489-nucleotide non-coding RNA. NCBI's taxonomy places the organism in Eukaryota, Metazoa, Chordata, Mammalia, Perissodactyla, Equidae. The record is from RefSeq and is a predicted model, not a curated record.
AGAAAUACGGCCAAUUCCGUUGUGACAGUUGGGGACUAGAGUGCAGUAGUAUCUCUUUGCCUUUUCACCAGUGGCAAAUACUACCACCGGCACCCCCAGUGCACUCCGGCAUGACUGCCAGCUUUGCCCCGCCGUCGUCUACACCUGAUCUUUUUCCCCUUGGGACUUACACCUAAGUUAUACCAAGCAGAGGCUGAGGAUUGAACAACUGACAAAAGAUCGCUUCUGAAUUUCAACACUUUCAUGAUGCAAAGCCUUAAACCAGAUCUUGGGGUGGACAGUCUCGCACCUGCUGAGAAGCACCCUCCGUCGUUCCUCUGCCCUCCCACCCUUCCAGGCUCCCAGAGUGGACCAUUCAUGAGAGGGGCACAGAGUCCCUUCUGCCACGACAGCUCCAGUGUGCUCUAAUCUCCAUCAGCGCAUGGGUCAUCUUCCUUCCUUCCUCUUCAAGUCUUUAUGUUUCCUAUAAAAUCGUCUUUUCCAAAGCUA